Molecule: transfer RNA, 71 nt
Filed under: Mus musculus (house mouse)
Lineage: Eukaryota; Metazoa; Chordata; Mammalia; Rodentia; Muridae
Also listed under: 1 other name
Rfam family: tRNA
About the family: Transfer RNA (tRNA) molecules are approximately 80 nucleotides in length. Their secondary structure includes four short double-helical elements and three loops (D, anti-codon, and T loops).
Source: Rfam by way of RNAcentral
GGUUAGGUGGCUCAGUGGUUAAGAGCACUGACUGUUCUUCCAGAAGUCCUGAGUUCAAUUCCCAGCAACCA